CAGGUGCAAACAAAGUGUUAAAGCAAAUCAUGGUAUCACCUAAGCCUUCCAUCUAAACCCUUGCGUUAAUCUGCCAAUUUGGUCGACGGGAAGCAAAACAUUACCACACUGACCGUUUGUGAUCUUCGGCUGACAUUAUCGCCGGAAAUUCUGAAGAAACAAGUUCAUUUUCAACAGAAACACCGGAGGCGGUGGCGAAAGAGGUGGUGAACAUUUUUGAAGAACAAAAAAAUGGUGGAAAUUCCUUCCAUAGAUUCAUCAGCCACCACCAACAUUGCACCCCUUAAACGCUAUGCCCCUCCCAGUCAGCGGAAUCGUUCACUUGGUAGGCGAAAAUCUGGAGGAGAGGAGCACUUAAGCCCUGAAGUGAGGCUCAAAACGUGUUAGCGCUUCGCCUUGCUUAAUGUGUGGUUCAAUGUCAUUAACAAGGUACUAAGACAUACUUUUCCUUGCCAAUGAACCUCUGAUGAAGAGACGACACUAAGCAAUUAAUAUUUCACUUUAUAGUAAUUAUUUUUCAAUUUCAUUGUUACUAUAUUUGUCAUUCAUGCUUAUAAAUUAUAAGUCUUAUACUAAACAUAUAUAUUUGUAUUUUUUCUCCCUUUGCGUCGUUUUUCAUUGAAGCCCAUGCUUUAGUUGAGCUUAAAGCCCGGAUGGACCUUGGAGUUUUUUUUGCGCUUUUUGCUUUUGACUACACUAGCUAGGAUGGCAGGAUUGAAUAUCAUGUCAGAUGUUAACAACCAACCUAGAUAGUAUUUAAACCAACUACUAAUAUUAAACCUUUUUCUUUCGGGCUAUAAAUAUGAAGAUGUCAGAUAAGAAUGAACUAAGCACUGUAGGAUAACCACGAUGUAUGGAGAGGGGGGGGGGAUGUUCGUUGUUAAGUCCUAUUGUGAAAAUUUUUUAUUAGAGAAAAGAUUGCCUUUUCAAACUAAAUAUGUAUUGUUCACUUGAUUGGGGUGAUCUUGACGACGGAGAAUCCGGGGAAGAGGAAGGUUACCUAUGUCAGUUGGUGCUUUGUGUGCAUGGCUUCGGGUGAAGAUGUCAAUCACCUCCUGAUUCAUUGUUUAUUCUAUCAGCAUCGAAAUUAUUGUCGGAAGUCCUUUGUGGUUUGACAUAUUUUGGGUGAUGCCAGCCUUGAUGAAAGAGGUAAUAUUGAAUUGAAGUUAUGGUAGAAGGAGAAGACACAACGUGCAGAAGCUUGGGCCACUAGCACUUAUAUGGGUCGUUUGGAGGGAAAGAAAUAAGAGAGCCUUUGAGAAUGUAGAGAUGAAUUUUGUUUCAGUUGAGGAGUUGGAAUUUUUUCUUUUUUUGAGAAAGUAACAUUUGUAUUAGAAAACUCAGCACAAAGGUUGUGAUGGUAACCAUGUACAGCUUCCAAAACUAGGAAAAGCUGGCACUUCUCACAUGGAGUCCAUCAUGUGUUGUAUAAAUUCUACCUCAUUUACAUAUUUCUCCUUGCACCAUAACAUGAACAACAAAAAAACAGUUCAUCCUUAUCUUCUGAAUGGAGCUGUUGCUGCCUUCAAAACAUCUGGCCUUACUUUCCUUCGCUGUCCACCAAAUACAAGGUGGAAUGAAAUUCCAUCACUUCUUUUGCCUGACAUUAUCUCCCUAAUUGUGCCAAUAUCUCAGUAAGUCAGCUCUAGUUGUUGGCACUGUCUAUUUGAGACCAACUAUACUCCGACUCUGCCACAAUUGAACAGUUACACCACAAUGUAGAACAGACGGUUGUUAGACUCUGAUGCUGCACGGCAUAACCUUGAUUGGAAUCCUCCUUCCUCUCUUCUUUAAAUUUUCCUGAGUUAAACAGGCCUGUCUGGCUGACAACUUAAAAGGGAGCUCUGAUCUUCUAACUCUGCUUCUAAGGCGUCAUCUUGAUUAUUUCUUGAAGCUAAUGAAUAGGCUGAUUUCACUGAAGAUCUCUUGUUGCUAGUGCCCUUCCAUAAUAAGGAGUCAUCAGCAUCUGUAGUUCCCUGAAAAAGUUCCAGUAAUUUAGCUGCCCGACCAAUUUCCCAGUCAUUUAGCAUUCUUCGUAAGUUGAGAUCCAUCCUUGUGAGCCCCACAUCUCCUCAAUUGUGGCUCCGGGAUUUGAGGUCUCCCUUAUUUCUUUUGGUGCACCAAUAAGGUUCCUUUAUGUAUAGGAAGAUUGAAUGCCGUUAGUAGAAAAUCAUCUUUUUUUCGGUUUUGUAUACGGGCAUGUGUUUUGCCCAAACAUUACUAUCGUUUUUCACUUUAUCCCAAAAAAAGAAGAAGAAUGAGCUAAGUUCCAAACUGUGGCAAAACAACUGGGAUAGGCAGAUGAUGCCCUAAAAGUCUAAGCUGAACCACCCACAUAGAAUGUAAGUUCAAAAAGAAUGUAAUUUCUGUCAUCUGGUACUUCUAUUUUGUUCCACUGCCUAGCAUAUUAUGGUACUUCUAUUUUGUUCCACUGCCAAGCAUAUUAUGGAUAAAUAGCUGACAGGUCUUUUGAAUUAUAAACCUAUUGGUAGACAUUUUUUCUCAGAUAGUCUAUUUUUGCAGAUCGAAUUGAACAAGUCAAUAUCAAUAGUAAUGAUGGAGAGAAGAAUCAAAUUAGUGCCUCCAGGUCAAAAUCUUCUGAUGAUGCUGGUGGCAGAUAUCAAGCAAAUGAGAAUCAUUGGACAGGGUUAAUACCGCUACAAGGAUGUUCUGGCAAUGAUGCUUUUCAGCUUCUAAAUAGCCAUAUGUUUCUUAGAUUAAUUCUGAGCUGAAUUUGUUACUUCGAAUAACAGUUUGUCAGUAACUUACAUAUUCUCUGUUAACCAUUUCCUAUGCUGUAAUGUAUUGUGGUCAUUUGGUUUCAGUCUUUCCUCUAGUUCAGUUGGUGUGGUGUGAUGAUAUUUAGCCAUGUAUUUUCCUUCAUUUUCUUUAUUAUUUAUGUGGGAUCUGAGUUCUUUACUUGUAUAUAGAUACUGAAUUCUUCACAUCUGUCCGUGAGGAAAAUGAGAUGAAUGGUGAUAUGCAUUUAGAUGGCAUAAUUUUUCCCAUCAUAAAUGAGCAACUACUGUUGUUUUUCUGAUUAAAUUCUUUAAUCCAGCCACUUUUCCAUAUCAAUCCUUGUUGACCUAAUUGGGAAGAAUGCCUGUCAAAUUCAGUUAGCCAGUUGUAGGAUAGGUCUCAGUUAAGAUGAGUGAGCAAGCCUCACAUACCAUCUCUUUCGGUUGUUUUGGUUCUUUGUCAGCCAGUUUCCACUCUUGGAUGAAUAAUGGUGGUAGCAGUUCCUCUUAUGAACAAUUAGUUGCGAGCGAUAAUGUUAAGAAAAUGUUGCAUGUUUUUGUAGGUUGGAUGGCUGCUUUGAAUGCUUACAAUAAUUUACCAUAUGAUUCUUCUGAAAGGCCAGUUAUGUAUACAAAAAGAUCACCGUGGGGGUAAUCUAUGCUUCCGCACCAGUUUUCACUGUCAGUUGAUGUUACAAGCUGGAGGUGUAUCUUCCCCUGGGUUGCAGGACUUUUCAAGUGAGCUUCGACUUGCAAUACAGGGUACAAGUGUCAGUUCGAUGCCUAAUUAUUAGCUUCAAGUGCCAAAACUUCUCCAAACUUAGGCUGUUCCGAUGCGUUUGCAUUGUAAUGGUAAGACACUUGUUGUGAGUUAUUAUCAACCCUGAUAGACUGCUUGUUUAAGAAGGCAGCAUCUGCUAGCACCAUGAACAUUUAAAAGUCGACACUCUUCCUUGUGUGUGUGCCUGUUGCAUUCUAUUUGCAAUGUACUUGUAAUGCUGUAUGUUUAAUGAGAUUCUACAAUUUUAUAAAUCUAAGUCUUGAAAUA
Molecule: RNA transcript, 3786 nt
Organism: Solanum tuberosum (potato)
Lineage: Eukaryota; Viridiplantae; Streptophyta; Magnoliopsida; Solanales; Solanaceae
Exons: 5
Source: RefSeq, a predicted model, not a curated record